UUAAAUUGAAGAGUUUGAUCAUGGCUCAGAUUGAACGCUGGCGGCAGGCCUAACACAUGCAAGUCGAACGGUAACAGGAAGCAGCUUGCUGCUUUGCUGACGAGUGGCGGACGGGUGAGUAAUGUCUGGGAAACUGCCUGAUGGAGGGGGAUAACUACUGGAAACGGUGGCUAAUACCGCAUAACGUCGCAAGACCAAAGAGGGGGACCUUCGGGCCUCUUGCCAUCAGAUGUGCCCAGAUGGGAUUAGCUUGUUGGUGAGGUAACGGCUCACCAAGGCGACGAUCCCUAGCUGGUCUGAGAGGAUGACCAGCCACACUGGAACUGAGACACGGUCCAGACUCCUACGGGAGGCAGCAGUGGGGAAUAUUGCACAAUGGGCGCAAGCCUGAUGCAGCCAUGCCGCGUGUAUGAAGAAGGCCUUCGGGUUGUAAAGUACUUUCAGCGGGGAGGAAGGUGUUGUGGUUAAUAACCGCAGCAAUUGACGUUACCCGCAGAAGAAGCACCGGCUAACUCCGUGCCAGCAGCCGCGGUAAUACGGAGGGUGCAAGCGUUAAUCGGAAUUACUGGGCGUAAAGCGCACGCAGGCGGUCUGUCAAGUCGGAUGUGAAAUCCCCGGGCUCAACCUGGGAACUGCAUUCGAAACUGGCAGGCUUGAGUCUUGUAGAGGGGGGUAGAAUUCCAGGUGUAGCGGUGAAAUGCGUAGAGAUCUGGAGGAAUACCGGUGGCGAAGGCGGCCCCCUGGACAAAGACUGACGCUCAGGUGCGAAAGCGUGGGGAGCAAACAGGAUUAGAUACCCUGGUAGUCCACGCCGUAAACGAUGUCUACUUGGAGGUUGUGCCCUUGAGGCGUGGCUUCCGGAGCUAACGCGUUAAGUAGACCGCCUGGGGAGUACGGCCGCAAGGUUAAAACUCAAAUGAAUUGACGGGGGCCCGCACAAGCGGUGGAGCAUGUGGUUUAAUUCGAUGCAACGCGAAGAACCUUACCUGGUCUUGACAUCCACGGAAGUUUUCAGAGAUGAGAAUGUGCCUUCGGGAACCGUGAGACAGGUGCUGCAUGGCUGUCGUCAGCUCGUGUUGUGAAAUGUUGGGUUAAGUCCCGCAACGAGCGCAACCCUUAUCCUUUGUUGCCAGCGAUUAGGUCGGGAACUCAAAGGAGACUGCCAGUGAUAAACUGGAGGAAGGUGGGGAUGACGUCAAGUCAUCAUGGCCCUUACGACCAGGGCUACACACGUGCUACAAUGGCGCAUACAAAGAGAAGCGACCUCGCGAGAGCAAGCGGACCUCAUAAAGUGCGUCGUAGUCCGGAUUGGAGUCUGCAACUCGACUCCAUGAAGUCGGAAUCGCUAGUAAUCGUGGAUCAGAAUGCCACGGUGAAUACGUUCCCGGGCCUUGUACACACCGCCCGUCACACCAUGGGAGUGGGUUGCAAAAGAAGUAGGUAGCUUAACCUUCGGGAGGGCGCUUACCACUUUGUGAUUCAUGACUGGGGUGAAGUCGUAACAAGGUAACCGUAGGGGAACCUGCGGUUGGAUCACCUCCUUACCUGAAAGAA
RNAcentral lists this ribosomal RNA (1554 nucleotides) under Salmonella enterica subsp. enterica serovar Albany str. ATCC 51960. RNAcentral describes it as "bacterial SSU rRNA". It matches the Rfam family "Bacterial small subunit ribosomal RNA". The record is from RNAcentral. Lineage: Bacteria; Pseudomonadati; Pseudomonadota; Gammaproteobacteria; Enterobacterales; Enterobacteriaceae.